GGCCUGGCUGACCGGUCCGCCUCACCGCGUGUACUGGUCCGGCCGGGCUCCCACCAUAGUCUAACCGCAUGCCCUUCACUGGGUGUGUUGGCGAAACUAUAUUUUUACUUUGAAAAAAUUAGAGUGCUCCAGGCAGGCCUAUGCUCGAAUACAUUAGCAUGGAAUAAUAGAAUAGGACGUGUGGUUCUAUUUUGUUGGUUUCUAGGACCGCCGUAAUGAUUAAUAGGGACAGUCGGGGGCAUCAGUAUUCAAUUGUCAGAGGUGAAAUUCUUGGAUUUAUUGAAGACUAACUACUGCGAAAGCAUUUGCCAAGGAUGUUUUCAUUUAUCAGGAACGAAAGUUAGGGGAUCGAAGACGAUCAGAUACCGUCGUAGUCUUAACCAUAAACUAUGCCGACUAGGGAUCGGACGAUGUUAUUUUUUGACUCGUUCGGCACCUUACGAGAAAUCAAAGUGCUUGGGCUCCAGGGGGAGUAUGGUCGCAAGGCUGAAACUUAAAGAAAUUGACGGAAGGGCACCACCAGGGGUGGAGC
RNAcentral lists this ribosomal RNA (532 nucleotides) under Colletotrichum gloeosporioides. Its description in RNAcentral is "SSU rRNA". It matches the Rfam family "Eukaryotic small subunit ribosomal RNA", at positions 644 to 1182 of the family's 1831-position model. Lineage: Eukaryota; Fungi; Ascomycota; Sordariomycetes; Glomerellales; Glomerellaceae. The record is from RNAcentral.